This is an unclassified non-coding RNA of Fukomys damarensis (Damara mole-rat), 300 nucleotides long. It matches the Rfam family "Metazoan signal recognition particle RNA". Rfam says of the family: The signal recognition particle (SRP) is a universally conserved ribonucleoprotein. The record is from Ensembl. Lineage: Eukaryota; Metazoa; Chordata; Mammalia; Rodentia; Bathyergidae.
GCCAGGUGUGGUGGCGCGUGCCUGUAAUCCCAGCUACUGGGGAGGCUGAGGUGGGAGGAUCGCUUGACUCCAGGAGUUCUGGACUGCAGUGCGCUAUGCGGAUCGGGCGUCCGCACUAAGUUCAGCAUCAAUAUGGUGACCUCCCGGGAGCGGGGACCACCAGGUUGCCUAAAGAGGGGUGAGCUGGCCCAGGUCGGAAAUGGAGAAGGUCAGAAGUUGGACCCCAUUAACCUGUAAAAAUGUAGAUAGGGUCCUAUAAGCUCAACUCACUACCCCAGUGACCCAAGGAGCUCAACUCGU